AAGUCGUAACAAGGUUUCCGUAGGUGAACCUGCGGAAGGAUCAUUAGAAAUGCCGAGCCGCAAGGCGAGGUUUAACUCUAUACCAUACACACCGUGCACCGAGCCCUCUCGGGCUUUCAAACUAUUUGGUAAUGAAUGUAAAUAACAUAAAUGAAAAUACAACUUUCAACAACGGAUCUCUUGGCUCUCGCAUCGAUGAAGAACGCAGCGAAAUGCGAAAAGUAAUGUGAAUUGCAGAAUUCAGUGAAUCAUCGAAUCUUUGAACGCACCUUGCACCCUUUGGUAUUCCGAAGGGUAUGCCUGUCUGAGUGUCAUUAGACCAUCUCCUCCACGGUUUUCCGCGCUGGAGCUUUGGGCGCCUGCCUGUCCGGCUCGCCUUAAAUGCCUAAGUGAUAUGAUAAGUCAACGUCACUCUAAUAACACCUCAUGCUCUGACCUCAGAUCAGGUAGGACUACCCGCUGAACUUAA
This 469-nucleotide ribosomal RNA is filed under the name uncultured fungus. RNAcentral's name for it is "eukaryotic LSU rRNA". The stretch from base 161 to 314 matches the Rfam family "5.8S ribosomal RNA". Lineage: Eukaryota; Fungi. The record is from RNAcentral.